CAUAUAUUAGAGCAAAUCCUAGUCAAUAUUAGUGUGUCACAAAGAUGUAACAUUAAAAAUAGUUUUAUUAAAGAAUAAGCACAUAAAAUUAACCAGAUGACCACAUAGUAAUGCAAUCACUAUCAUGAUGAAUCUAGAUUUAAUUCUGGGUCCCACACCUCCAAUUUUUCAAGAGGGACCUGGGCCCAGCUUAUUAAUUGAAACUAACCUAAUAAACUUUUGUACUAUUCUACUACAGUGCUCCAUUCUAACUAUAGAAAAACUACUACAUCAGCGCUUUUGGCAGGAAGUGGGGAGCUCUCACUUUUUCAAAAGUAAUAACACUUUUGAUUGGCUAGAGCGCUU
Molecule: long non-coding RNA, 345 nt
Filed under: Androctonus crassicauda
Lineage: Eukaryota; Metazoa; Arthropoda; Arachnida; Scorpiones; Buthidae
Source: RNAcentral